GAUGAACGCUGACCGAAUGCUUAACACAGCCAAGUCUUUGGCGAAGCUUUUCUUUCACAGCCUAUCCAAGGCGGACGUGUGAGUAACGCGUAAGGAACUUGCCCUGCAGUCAGGGAUAACAGACUGAAACGACUGAUAAGACCUGGUAAAGUCAGUCGGGCUCAUGUCCAGCCUGAUGAAAAGAGAUUCUGCAGGAGAGCCUUGCGUCCUAUUAGCGUGUUGGUGGGGUAACGGCCCACCAAGGCGAUGAUAGGUAUCCGGCCUGAGAGGGUGGACGGCCAAAAGGGGACUGAGAUACGGCGCUUACUCCUACGGGAGGCAGCAGUGGGGAAUAUUGGACAACGGGGGCACCCCGGCUCCAGCAAUUCUGUGUGCACGAUGAAGGUUUUCGGAUUGUAACGUGCUUUCAGCAGGGAAGAAAAAAAUGACGGCACCCGCAGAAGAAGCGGCGGAUCAAUACGUG
RNAcentral lists this ribosomal RNA (463 nucleotides) under uncultured bacterium. RNAcentral's name for it is "partial 16S ribosomal RNA". It matches the Rfam family "Bacterial small subunit ribosomal RNA", at positions 28 to 507 of the family's 1533-position model. The record is from RNAcentral.